Non-coding RNA from Schistosoma curassoni, 45 nucleotides. NCBI's taxonomy places the organism in Eukaryota, Metazoa, Platyhelminthes, Trematoda, Strigeidida, Schistosomatidae. The record is from Rfam.
GCACUGUUGAGGAGUCCACAUUAGGACGAAACGGCUGUCCAGUGC